CAGCCGCCACGGUAAUACGUAGGUGGCAAGCGUUGUCCGGAAUUAUUGGGCGUAAAGGGCCCGCAGGCGGUUUCUUAAGUCUGAUGUGAAAGCCCCCGGCUCAACCGGGGAGGGUCAUUGGAAACUGGGAAACUUGAGUGCAGAAGAGGAGAGUGGAAUUCCACGUGUAGCGGUGAAAUGCGUAGAGAUGUGGAGGAACACCAACGGCGAAAGCACUCUGCUGGGCCGACACUGACACUGAGAGACGAAAGCUAGGGGAGCAAAUGGGAUUAGAUACCCGCGUAGUCCCUGUCUCUUAUAC
This 301-nucleotide ribosomal RNA is filed under the name uncultured bacterium. Its description in RNAcentral is "partial 16S ribosomal RNA". It matches the Rfam family "Bacterial small subunit ribosomal RNA", at positions 509 to 807 of the family's 1533-position model. The record is from RNAcentral.